GCCUCUGUCUGUGGGCCAGGCUAUGACGGCCACAGAAAGCCCACAGGACAGCUCCCAGCUGCACUGCAAGCCUCUGUCCCAGAAUCCCCAGCUCACAGCAAAGAAGACACCUGAAACAGACGGUACUCCCCAAAAGCAGCACCCCAAAAGAUGCUGGGGCAGGCGCCAUGGGCAAGGCUGUUUCCUUCUGGCCCUGCCGUCCUGCUGCUGAUGCUCUGUGCUGGAGUGACCACCCAGGCUAUCUGCAACUUUCCAGGAUUGCAGGAGCAUGGAAGUGAGUCCCAAAAAUGAACGUGUCCUGGGGAAGGAGAUGGGAAGGGUUAAGGGGAUUAUUCCCCCACAGUUUCCCCUGUAAGACCCAGGACAGCACAGUCUCCCAGCCUUGGCAUGCAGUUGUUUUUGCCACCCUGCAGUCAGUAACACUUGCCUGGGGAAUCCCUGUGUCGUCCCUCCAGGUAAUGACCAGACGCCAGUCCUGUACCUCAACACUUCCAGUGCCCAGGAGGGGGAAAUAGUUUUCUUUCAAUGUACCAUUGAUGCUCAUUUUCCUGCUACACGAGUUGUCUUCUGCAAGAAUGGGCUGGAAGAGUUCAGCCUGAAAGCCCAGCAGGGAAAGGUCAUCUACACUAUGGACCUGAACAUCACCUCCAGAAGUGCUGGGACGUACACGUGUGGGUACCAGCAGAGGAACGAGAGCAACUGGGUGAGGAGCUCUGCUCUCAGUGCUCCUUGGAUGCUGUCUAUGCCAGGGAUAUCCAUGCCCCUGGAAGUCUGGAUCCUGCGCUCUGCCCUCAGCCUACUCCUUCUGCUGUCUGCCCCCAUCAUCACCCUCCUCCUGGAGAGAUGGAGCCAUGGUGCCAGCAGGGCCAGGCAGCCUGGAGACAUCCCUGUCCCCAUGGUGCUCUGAUGUCCUCCUGGGCUCUAUGCUCUCCCCAGCCUGCUCCCUCAUGCUCAGAACAUGACCCCCACACAUUUGCCAGGCUCCCACUGCCAUUGGGUUCAAGGCAGCUGGGGCAGCAUGCCCAAGGGAUGUGCUGCCACUGCUCUGCUUCCCUUGGCUGAGACUCUGCUCUCUGCUCACAUUAAGGAGGGAUCGUGCACUCUCCUGGCUGCCUUCAACCACAACACCCACGUUGCUGCCGCUCCUAGUCAUAGGAUCUCCAUCAUGUGAUCCACCUCUGAAUACCAGAACAACACAAGGGGAUGGAGUCAUGUCUGCACCCCCAGGUAGCCAUGCUCUGCAGCUCCUGCAUCACUCCAGCACCUCCUUGUGCCCAAGGUGGUGCCGGCUGCAAUGGGCACAUCCCCAGGUGGUCACAGUGCCCUGUGUGG
Anas platyrhynchos (mallard) is the source of this 1332-nucleotide non-coding RNA. The record is from RefSeq and is a predicted model, not a curated record. NCBI's taxonomy places the organism in Eukaryota, Metazoa, Chordata, Aves, Anseriformes, Anatidae.